AUUGAACGCUGGCGGCACGCCUUACACAUGCAAGUCGAACGGCAGCACGGGAGCAAUCCUGGUGGCGAGUGGCGAACGGGUGAGUAAAGUAUCGGAACGUGCCCAGUCGUGGGGGAUAACGUAGCGAAAGUUACGCUAAUACCGCAUACGAUCUAUGGAUGAAAGCGGGGGAUCGCAAGACCUCGCGCGAUUGGAGCGGCCGAUAUCAGAUUAGGUAGUUGGUGGGGUAAAGGCUCACCAACCCGACGAUCUGUAGCUGGUCUGAGAGGACGACCAGCCACACGGGGACUGAGACACGGCCCAGACUCCUACGGGGGGCAGCAGUGGGGAAUUUUGGACAAUGGGGGAAAGCCGGAUCCAGCCAUGCCGCGUGCAGGAUGAAGGCCUUCGGGUUGUAAACUGCUUUUGUACGGAACGAAAAGGUUUGGCAUAAUAAGCUGAGCUAAUGACGGUACCGUAAGACUAAGCACCGGCUAACUACGUGCCAGCCGCCGCCGUAA
This 500-nucleotide ribosomal RNA is filed under the name uncultured bacterium. Its description in RNAcentral is "partial 16S ribosomal RNA". It matches the Rfam family "Bacterial small subunit ribosomal RNA", at positions 29 to 523 of the family's 1533-position model. The record is from RNAcentral.